Molecule: ribosomal RNA, 599 nt
Filed under: uncultured bacterium
Lineage: Bacteria
Description: bacterial SSU rRNA
Rfam family: Bacterial small subunit ribosomal RNA
Source: RNAcentral
GGAUAACCCUCGGAAACGGGGGCUAAUACCGGAUAUGAUCUCCUGCCGCAUGGUGGGGGGUGGAAAGUUUUUCGGCGUGGGAUGGGCUCGCGGCCUAUCAGCUUGUUGGUGGGGUGAUGGCCUACCAAGGCGGUGACGGGUAGCCGGCCUGAGAGGGCGACCGGCCACACUGGGACUGAGACACGGCCCAGACUCCUACGGGAGGCAGCAGUGGGGAAUAUUGCACAAUGGGCGGAAGCCUGAUGCAGCGACGCCGCGUGAGGGAUGACGGCCUUCGGGUUGUAAACCUCUUUCAGCACCGACGAAGCGAGAGUGACGGUAGGUGCAGAAGAAGCGCCGGCCAACUACGUGCCAGCAGCCGCGGUAAGACGUAGGGCGCGAGCGUUGUCCGGAUUUAUUGGGCGUAAAGAGCUCGUAGGCGGCUUGUCGCGUCGGCUGUGAAAACCCGUGGCUCAACUGCGGGCUUGCAGCCGAUACGGGCAGGCUAGAGUUCGGUAGGGGAGACUGGAAUUCCUGGUGUAGCGGUGAAAUGCGCAGAUAUCAGGAGGAACACCGGUGGCGAAGGCGGCUCGCUGGGCCAUUCCUGACGCUGAGACGCG